RNAcentral lists this unclassified non-coding RNA (310 nucleotides) under Bombus terrestris (buff-tailed bumblebee). RNAcentral's name for it is "misc RNA ENSBTSG00005030163.1". Lineage: Eukaryota; Metazoa; Arthropoda; Insecta; Hymenoptera; Apidae. The record is from RNAcentral.
GGGAUAUCAACAAAAUUCCAGGCGCCAUUACUAGAUAGACCCGCGUAGAGCCGACAUUGCUCCUGGUCGGAGCCUGUUUGCUAAUACAGCGUGUGUCUCUCAAUAUCGGUACUUCCUCUGUUAGGUAAAACCGUUCAUCUCGUGACCGUGGCUACGUUUGGCGACCAGUUGUGUCACCUCGAGCUCAAGUAUUGGGGAUCUCCCCAAAAGAAAGGCCCGAUGUUCCUAUAUCUCCGACAUAUAUAUACGCAACGAGGGUGUAGGAAGAAAUAGAGAUAAACUUUUAUUGAAAUAACCAAAGCGACUCAAA